Long non-coding RNA from Haliotis rubra (blacklip abalone), 386 nucleotides. RefSeq lists it as uncharacterized. Lineage: Eukaryota; Metazoa; Mollusca; Gastropoda; Lepetellida; Haliotidae. The transcript has 3 exons. The record is from RefSeq and is a predicted model, not a curated record.
CUUUUGCUCAGUAAAUAAUGUCAGUGUGUAUAUAUGCAUCAUUCAUCGAUAUCAUCACGUUCACUAUUGCAAAUCAGUAGACUAUUACGAUUCUCCAGCCAGGGGACUACGUUCUAAGUUACGUGACCGACGAAGACGUUAUGCCAUUGUGUUGGAAGCAGAUCGAGACCACCAGUCCACGUGAAUACAACAUCUCGAAGGUUGGCAUGGGCCUCUGGGAAAUUCAAAAGCACGUUCGAACGUGUGUGAGACUUUUAACAGAAAUUUAUCAAAAUCAUUUUCGUUCAGUAUACGGAAGCAGAUACAACGAUCUUAAACGUCAACCGAUGAACUAGACGCACAAUACAAUGGCAGAAGAAAAUGAGUGUCUUCGACUGUAUUAGUUU